ACUCACAAAUAAAAAUUAAUCGCAUAAGUAGGAGUCGAAGACACCCCGUACCUCAGAUAUCCACAGAUAUUCGUGUGGCAAGGACGCGUUUGGAUCGUGUGUGUAAUUUUCUACGUGGCGAAAUUUACAAACACGUCAAAGUUUUAAAGCAGAACUAUGCCACGAAAAUAUAAAAGAAAGGAAGAAAUGCGAGCUCGAGUAUGUUCUUGGACUAUAGAAAACCUACAGUCAGCUUUCGAUGA
Molecule: unclassified non-coding RNA, 242 nt
Filed under: Melitaea cinxia (Glanville fritillary)
Lineage: Eukaryota; Metazoa; Arthropoda; Insecta; Lepidoptera; Nymphalidae
Description: misc RNA ENSMCXG00005017553.1
Source: RNAcentral